CCAGCCAGGAUCCCCCAAAGUGUGCAGAGGGCUCAGCAGAGAACAGUAUGGGACCCCCUCACCAGGCCUGGAACACCUCCAGCCACAAAGAAGCCAAAGAUUAAACUCCUUACAGAAGUUAACUCUGCAGACUGAGAAGACGUGAACAGAGAGAGUCAAGGGGAGUGAUGACUAUUUCAGAGACAGGAAAGGACAGAAGAGAUGAC
This is a long non-coding RNA of Homo sapiens (human), 206 nucleotides long. Lineage: Eukaryota; Metazoa; Chordata; Mammalia; Primates; Hominidae. The record is from Ensembl.